Molecule: long non-coding RNA, 201 nt
Filed under: Manihot esculenta (cassava)
Lineage: Eukaryota; Viridiplantae; Streptophyta; Magnoliopsida; Malpighiales; Euphorbiaceae
Description: long non-coding RNA (MESC_LNC006900)
Source: RNAcentral
CCCCCAAACCCCUAUUCUCCCGAAUCUCGAUUCCUCCCCCUGGGCUCUCCACACUCUCAUAGUCGAAUCUGAAUCCUUAACAAAUCAAUCAUCAAAUCCCAUUAAUCUCUUUCUCUUUCACGUCGAUCGUCAAUCUUUUUCUCGUCGACCGCCGACCGUCGACCAUCAACCUCUUUCCCGUCGAUUUGCUGAGUUUCGCCG